This 429-nucleotide ribosomal RNA is filed under the name Chloroflexota bacterium. RNAcentral describes it as "Chloroflexi bacterium partial 16S ribosomal RNA". It matches the Rfam family "Bacterial small subunit ribosomal RNA", at positions 355 to 776 of the family's 1533-position model. The record is from RNAcentral. Lineage: Bacteria; Bacillati; Chloroflexota.
UGGGGAAUUUUGCACAAUGGGCGCAAGCCUGAUGCAGCCAUGCCGCGUGUGUGAAGAAGGCCUUCGGGUUGUAAAGCACUUUCAGCGGGGAGGAAGGCGAUAAGGUUAAUAACCUUGUCGAUUGACGUUACCCGCAGAAGAAGCACCGGCUAACUCCGUGCCAGCAGCCGCGGUAAUACGGAGGGUGCAAGCGUUAAUCGGAAUUACUGGGCGUAAAGCGCACGCAGGCGGUCUGUCAAGUCGGAUGGGAAAUCCCCGGGCUCAACCUGGGAACUGCAUUCGAAACUGGCAGGCUAGAGUCUUGUAGAGGGGGGUAGAAUUCCAGGUGUAGCGGUGAAAUGCGUAGAGAUCUGGAGGAAUACCGGUGGCGAAGGCGGCCCCCUGGACAAAGACUGACGCUCAGGUGCGAAAGCGUGGGGAGCAAACAGG